This 199-nucleotide ribosomal RNA is filed under the name uncultured bacterium. RNAcentral describes it as "partial 16S ribosomal RNA". It matches the Rfam family "Bacterial small subunit ribosomal RNA", at positions 326 to 539 of the family's 1533-position model. The record is from RNAcentral.
ACGCUCGACACCCUACGGAAGGCAGCAGUGGGGAAUAUUGCACAAUGGGGGAAACCCUGAUGCAGCGACGCCGCGUGAGCGAAGAAGUAUUUCGGUAUGUAAAGCUCUAUCAGCAGGGAAGAAACUGACGGUACCUGACUAAGAAGCACCGGCUAAAUACGUGCAAGCAGCCGCGGUAAUCUGAGCGGGCUGGCAAGGC